Molecule: long non-coding RNA, 493 nt
Organism: Cannabis sativa
Lineage: Eukaryota; Viridiplantae; Streptophyta; Magnoliopsida; Rosales; Cannabaceae
Exons: 2
Source: RefSeq, a predicted model, not a curated record
UGGUUAUUUAUUUUAUUUAGUGAGUGAAUUAUUCCACUAAUUCUUUUAGCUGGCCAUAUUGAUUAAAUGCUAAGAUAAGUUAAUCUUAUCUUUUAUUAGAUUAUCAUUAAGGUGAAUAAGAACAAAACCACUUUUAUCUUUCUCUCUCUCUAACCAUUCGACCUCAAGAGAACCAGAAGGAACUAGGGUGUUCUUCAUCAGAUUUUGGUGAACUGUAGUUAAAUUCAAGGGGUGAAGAUCCAAAGGUAAAGGAAAGUCUAAGACUUAGUGAGUCUAGAGCUCAAGGAUGAUUGAACAUGUCGAGAUGGUUAAAGCUGAAGAGUUUGAUCAAAGGAUGACUUGGACCUUAUUUUGUAGUCGUUGUGCGACAUGUUUAUAGAGUAUAUUUUGAAUGUGUUUGUAAAUUUUAAAGACGGGAUCCCGAAUUGAAUGUUUGGAUAUAUAUGUAUUACAAAAGUUUAAAGUUUAAUUAAAAAGUUUAAAUUUGACAUGA